RNAcentral lists this ribosomal RNA (460 nucleotides) under uncultured bacterium. RNAcentral's name for it is "partial 16S ribosomal RNA". It matches the Rfam family "Bacterial small subunit ribosomal RNA", at positions 338 to 795 of the family's 1533-position model. The record is from RNAcentral.
CCUACGGGGGGCAGCAGUGAGGAAUAUUGGUCAAUGGACGAGAGUCUGAACCAGCCAAGCAGCGUGAAGGAUGACUGCCUUAUGGGUUGUAAAUUUCUUUUUUAUGGGAAUAAAUUGUUCCACGUGUGGGAUUUUGUAUGUACCAUAUGAAUACGGAUCGGCUAACUCCGUGCCAGCAGCCGCGGUAAUACGGAGGAUCCGAGCGUUAUCCGGGUUUAUUGGGUUUAAAGGGAGCGUAGGUGGAUUGUUAAGUCAGUUGUGAAAGUUUGCGGCUCAACCGUAAAAUUGCAGUUGAUACUGGCAGUCUGGAGUACAGUAGAGGUGGGCGGAAUUCGUGGUGUAGCGGUGAAAUGCUUAGAUAUCACGAAGAACACCGAUUGCGAAGGCAGCUCACUGGACUGAAACUGACACUGAGGCUCGAAAGUGUGGGUAUCAAACAGGAUUAGAUACCCGGGUAGUC